AAGCAGCCCGGCCCGAAUUGUUAGGGGAAACCUCAUAGGUUUUAAAAACCUAUGAGGUUUAGCUUUGGAAUGAGGGACACUCC
Molecule: unclassified non-coding RNA, 83 nt
Filed under: Chryseobacterium profundimaris
Lineage: Bacteria; Pseudomonadati; Bacteroidota; Flavobacteriia; Flavobacteriales; Weeksellaceae
Description: Flavo-1 RNA
Source: RNAcentral